GCCCCUUGCACCUGGAUGCACUCCUCCUCAGAAGGAAAAUGCCAUCGUUUGUAUUCUUGGCAAGCAGUUGGCUCUGCAAUGAUUGAAGCAACCGGUCCAUCUUUCACAGCUUCUCCUCGAAGACAAUGAGCUGACUGCCUUGGCCCAUCCAUCUCAAGGAGAGGUGCCACACUUCGCAGAAUAAAGCGCUAAUUGACGUAAGCGAGGAUGCUGAGGUUCACCCCAGGGGACUUGAAAAUGUUGUUUAUUGAAUCAAUUAUGUUCACAGCGUGA
This is a long non-coding RNA of Phasianus colchicus (ring-necked pheasant), 273 nucleotides long. RefSeq lists it as uncharacterized. Lineage: Eukaryota; Metazoa; Chordata; Aves; Galliformes; Phasianidae. The record is from RefSeq and is a predicted model, not a curated record.